CCAAGCCAAUGUUCCCCACUCUGCGGCUGCCAUCUCCUCUUCUCUUAAGCCGACGUUCUCCUUUAGCCCUAGGAUAAAUCUCCAUCGAAUACCUUCCUCAUAUCCUUGCAAACCUCUCUUCGUUCACUGUCUUCCUCUUUUCCCAAACCCCUAACCCAUCCUACUCUUCUCCCAAACCCCAAACCUCUCGAUCCUCCUCUCCUCCCAAACCCCCAUCGACCCUCCUCCUCACCCCA
RNAcentral lists this long non-coding RNA (236 nucleotides) under Elaeis guineensis (African oil palm). RNAcentral describes it as "long non-coding RNA (EGUI_LNC008983)". The record is from RNAcentral. Lineage: Eukaryota; Viridiplantae; Streptophyta; Magnoliopsida; Arecales; Arecaceae.